RNAcentral lists this long non-coding RNA (1562 nucleotides) under Strigops habroptila (Kakapo). RNAcentral describes it as "lncRNA (ENSSHBG00005012334.1)". Lineage: Eukaryota; Metazoa; Chordata; Aves; Psittaciformes; Psittacidae. The record is from RNAcentral.
UCACAGUUUCAAUCAAUUUGAUUACAUUUUAUUCUGCUAUUUUUCCCACAAUAACCGGACUUCCCCUUUUUGUGCUCCAGGUUUCUUUCAGCACUCCAGCACCAUGUGCGUUUUCUUGUUUAAAAAAAAUUACGUAGUUUUGUAGGCUGUGCCUGGAUCUUGUUUAAAACAAAGAAAAUUGAGCCUUUACAACCUCUUGGUGUCUCCUUUUGAGUGCUUGUGGUUGGAUUUAAAAGCCCCCUCCAUUUUUCUUAGUAUUCCUUCUGGAUGAGGAAAGGAACCAUUAAAAAUGACAAAAGCAAAUUUGGAGUUUUGGUAUAACUGAGACUGAAAAGGACCCCUGGAUGCCUCUUGUCCCAACCCUUGCUCAGAAUUUCACAUUGGCCUGCUUUCUCAGUAGCUAACUAGUCAACUUCUAUUUGGAGGACAGAUUCCACACACCUUUGAGCAAAACCCUGGCAAUUUACCAUCACUGUCACCUCUCCUGCAGGUCCACAAAGAAUAAGGGGCCAUGGAUGUUUGGUCACCUGGAUGAUGGAACUCUGGAUGGCCACAGAACAGCAAAUAUUUCUACAGAUAUUGGGAUGUUCUCCUAACAUCAGAGCUAGAAAGGGCUGAAGUUUCAUGCUACCAAGUGCUGGAAUGCUGCAGCACCAAAGUAGGUACUUCUGUGCUUAGGGUUUGGAGACAUGCAUAUCUCUCAGGGUGAGAUUUAAAAGUCUUAAAUCCUACUUUUUGCAGAUCUUAGGAGCCUAAUUCUGUGCUGCCAAUAGGAGAUGGAGGAAAUACAACUUGUUCCAGGAAAUUCCCAUUUCAGAGUUUCCUCCAAAAUCGAGGCAGAGUUCUCUCUCUCUUUGAGAGAGCUAGAGAUCAUUACAUCAUUCCCUGCUGUCUUUCUCCAUUUAAGGAGAAUGCUCUGCUGUGGGAUGAUCCCAUCGUCCUCUCAAAGAAUUCAAAUCCUUAUUCCAGCUUCCCAAAGGUAUAAAUUUGGCCAUAGUACAUAAUUUCUUUACCCUCCUGAUCAUUCACCCUCUUCGUUCCACCUCAUUACCCCACUGAAGCCGUUCCACCAUGCAGCCAAAACUCAAAAUGUAUGGAACCACAGAAGAAAAGGAAUUUAAGGGAGCUCAGCUCACUAAAAGACGGUUACGAUGGCCAAGAGGUUCUUGCAUACACAAGCCUACAGCACUCAUUCACAUUUUAUGUGAGACUGUUUUCCUAGGAAAUAGCUGCCACAAGGAACUGCUGACAUUGUUCACAUCUCAUAUACAACCACAAAGCAUGUGUGGCCACAGGCACAUGGUGGAUGUAGUCCAAAGCCCAUGGCUAUUGACACAAAACCUCCCCCUGACAGCAGUUGCCUUUGGACUGAGCUCAAAAACCAGAAGUCAAUGUUAUGUUGGUUCUUCUUUCUCCAGGGCUCCUGCUGCUUUCUAUUCUAAUUGGAUGAGAUACACUGGGACACACACACACAUACCCUUUACGUCAAAAUAGGGCUUUAGGUAAUAUUUUUAACAAAAUAGCAAGUUUUGUGUCUUAGCUGACCAUGUAAGUGGGGGGCA